UACGAAGGGGGCUAGCGUUGCUCGGAAUCACUGGGCGUAAAGCGCACGUAGGCGGCUUUUUAAGUCAGGGGUGAAAUCCUGGAGCUCAACUCCAGAACUGCCUUUGAUACUGAGAAGCUUGAGUCCGGGAGAGGUGAGUGGAACUGCGAGUGUAGGGGUGAAAUUGGUAGAUAUUCGCAAGAACACCAGUGGCGAAGGCGGCUCACUGGCCCGGUACUGACGCUGAGGUGCGAAAGCGUGGGGAGCAAACAGG
This 253-nucleotide ribosomal RNA is filed under the name uncultured bacterium. RNAcentral describes it as "partial 16S ribosomal RNA". It matches the Rfam family "Bacterial small subunit ribosomal RNA", at positions 524 to 776 of the family's 1533-position model. The record is from RNAcentral.